GCUUAUCACCAUUCCAGAUUGAAUAUACCCGAUCUCGUCUGAUCUCGGAAGUCAAGCAAUCUCGGGAUUGGUUAGUACUUGGAUGGGUGACCGCUUGGGAAUACCAAGUGUGAUAAGCA
Non-coding RNA from Ciona savignyi (Pacific transparent sea squirt), 119 nucleotides. Lineage: Eukaryota; Metazoa; Chordata; Ascidiacea; Phlebobranchia; Cionidae. The record is from Rfam.